AUAAGUGUGUUUAACGGCAUAUAUAAACAUUUCUGUUAGAUAAUAAGCACCAAAAUAAAAAAUUUCCGGUCAACUUUGCAAGAUAAAACACUACUAAAGAAUACCGCAUUAUUAAGAAAAUAAUUUUAAUACAAUGCAGUAACACGUUAUAAAAAGCCGCAUUUAUCUAAAUAUAAAGCAUCUAUUGUAUCAAAAGUAAAAAAUAGGGGUACAUAUUGCAAGCAACUGCUACACUCUCUUUCGGGAUUAUAUUCGGUCGCAAUAAUACAGGAUGCAAUUUAGAUAAAUACUCAACUCCCUCUUCCGCAGCCAAUUUAGUUUGCGGUAAUAUGAACAAAACUUUUGCCCACUCUUACUCUUUCUGAGGCGUCCAUUUUCGCCCGCAAUAUAUAAGGCAAUUUAAAGAUGUAUGCAUCUCAUUGCCCGUCGCCAUUUUUAAACUGUGUGUCAGAGCAAUAGCUAGGCCACUCCUACUUACUUCAAGGCAGCCGCCAUUUCAGUCUGAAAAUUAGUAGGAUGCUUUUUAAAGCAUUCCUCUUUUCGGGGACCGUUUUGCGUUGCGCAAUUGAGGGUGAGAGCAAUAGCUUUCCAUUUGCGGUCACAGCUUAUACAAGUGGUGCCAAUAAAAACUUCUCAUAUAAAAGUAGAAUGAUGUCAAAAUACACAAAUUAUUUAAUAGCGCAGUGUUGUCAGAAUACGCAUUUGGUGAAUAGCACAGUGUUGCCGCAUCAUCAUAAAUAUGAUGAAACGAGUCCGUGCCGACGAGACGGCCACCAGAGCUGGCAAUUAAAACACAGAAGGAGUGUUCCUGUGAGGUGGCGGGAUAAGAAUACUACCUCAGCGUUCCCGGCUUGUCGUAAAAGGCGACUAAAGGGUGGAAAGGAGGAGCGCUACAUGGCCAAUGCAUCAGGAAGGGAGAGCGACCUGGCUUCACAUCCUGCUCAUCGAAGUCUUACCUUGACUGGCAGUUCCGUGGUCACUCUAAUAUGGGGUCCAAAGUGGAUUUGGGCACUACAUGCGCGACCGUCGAUCCUUGAUUAGUGUGGCCGAUGCAAUAGGUGCGCGAAAUAGUAAGUAAUAUUGAUAUUACGUCUCCAUGUGCUAUUAUUGCACAUGCUUUUUUUUUCGCUCGUAACCGCACUGUUCUUUUGGUUUAACAUUUUUCUUCUUGUUUCGCUGGCCGCCAUUUUCCGUUGCGGCCCUUUAGGAAAAAAAAGACAUGUUGUUUCUUUUGCAACCAUUUUCGUUUUUAAAAUGGAAGAAAGAAACUAUAAAAAUUAAUGUUAUUUAUAUCCUUAAAAAAUAUGUCCCUUUCCCACAAUGCCUCCAAGUAAGUCAGUUUGUGCAUGGCCUACGCUUGCCGAAAUGUCCGCAUUUGCGUUCCGUGUUUUCGCAUUAUGGACAUUGGCUGCAUUCUCAUGUGGCAGCUGAAAUCUCCAAAUCAAAGCAAUGUAAACUUUCCUGCUGUAACGCACAAUUUUGUAGACAUGAUGACGAAACUCCUGGAAUAAGAUAUAAAGAAAAACCCAAAAAAGAAAUAAAAUCAAUGACAAAAGGAGCGGAAAUAGCAAACUAAAGGAAGUAAGCAGACGGUUAACACGGCCGCACUAGUGGGCCGGGUCAUGGCAAACAAAUUGUGAAUGUGGAUCAGGUUGGGUCCGCCUAUCAACAUCAGCAACGGCAUUCCUAGUGCCCCCCAGAAACAGAAGCAAUACAGCAGCGGAAGCUCCAUCUACAUCCAACGAUCUGUCGGCCCAACCACGCCCUCCGAGUCGGCGCAACGACGACACCAGCAGCUGUUAAGUCCCCCUAGUCUCUAAGUUUACGCACUGUCGCCGCCAAUAUCUGUUUUUUACAUGUAGAAAUUUAAAAAUGUUUUAUUUGAUAAAGUUAGAUCCAUAACAUGAUUUCUUGCCAUAGUCCGACCGAAUUUGCUUCACCAUAGUAUGACCAGAAUAACCGGCAAGCUUUUGGCAUACGUGCAGUUUGCUCUUCUGGACGGCUGGCUCUUCUUGUCGAUAUUGGAUCGUCUGUUUAGUUUGUCUGCUGUAUGAUUGUCUGAUGCCCACAAACCGUUCCAAAUUACCACGCACACACUUUUAAAUUUUUUUUCGUUUUUACAUUUUUUGUAUCUGAAUUUAUAUCAAUAUGCUGAAAAAAGUAGAAAUUUCUUGUAAGCACUCCCACUAUAUGAGUACCGGGAUUGUGAUGGUCGAGGAACUAUCUUUUGCUUUUUUCUUAUAUUUAUUUGUGAUAUACCUAUCAAAAUCGUCCGGUGAAUUAAUUUAAAAAGCUGGUUUAAUAUAAUAAUAUUAAUAUUUUUAAAACAAUACGCGUUUUUUAUUUUUCAUCUAUUAACAGAUAAUAAGUAAUUUAAUUUUUGAAUAUAAAUUAAGUGUUACUCCUUUAAUAAUAUGGGAAUACUAAAUAAAAAAUGUAACAAUUUGUAAUAUGAAAGAACAAAACAAACUGCUUAUUAGUGUUUGAAGCUUAUGAUUUCAGUUUAGAAGUAUAUAUAAAUAUCUUUCAAAAAUGAAAUAAAUAUUAUAUUAUAUUUAUAUGUCUUUAGAUAAUGUUUUCACCGUUGAAGUACAUAAAGACAUAUCCUUCUAAAAUUAAAUAAUAAAUGUAAUAUGUUUAUUUUUAUUUAUAUGUUUAGUUAGAUUAAGGUAGUAAUAAAUAGUUACAUUUAAAAAGAACAUUGGGGUAUAUUUUUUAUUAAAUAUCAAGAAGCAAGGGGCAUAUAGCUGUAUAAGCUUGCCAUAUUAAUGUGCCUAGGUAGUUAUUAUUAUUUCCGCUGUUAAUAACUUAUUUAUAAGGGAAUAAAAUACGUUUAAGGAAGGUGUAAUCGCAUGUCAUUAUUGGCAUAUUAAAUUUUUAAAAUAUAAAACAAUAAUAGUUGAAUAAAGAGAGAAAUUAAAGAAA
This is an RNA transcript of Drosophila yakuba, 2925 nucleotides long. RefSeq lists it as uncharacterized. Lineage: Eukaryota; Metazoa; Arthropoda; Insecta; Diptera; Drosophilidae. The transcript is spliced from 3 exons. The record is from RefSeq and is a predicted model, not a curated record.